Molecule: ribosomal RNA, 48 nt
Filed under: Coralliophila meyendorffii
Lineage: Eukaryota; Metazoa; Mollusca; Gastropoda; Neogastropoda; Muricidae
Description: partial 28S ribosomal RNA
Source: RNAcentral
UCCGACCUCAGAUCUGACGAGAUUACCCGCUGAAUUUAAGCAUAUCAC